This 494-nucleotide ribosomal RNA is filed under the name uncultured bacterium. Its description in RNAcentral is "bacterial SSU rRNA". It matches the Rfam family "Bacterial small subunit ribosomal RNA", at positions 30 to 517 of the family's 1533-position model. The record is from RNAcentral.
AUUGAACGCUGGCGGCAGGCCUAACACAUGCAAGUCGAGCGGUAGAGAGAAGCUUGCUUCUCUUGAGAGCGGCGGACGGGUGAGUAAUGCCUAGGAAUCUGCCUAGUGGUGGGGGAUAACGUUCGGAAACGGACGCUAAUACCGCAUACGUCCUACGGGAGAAAGCGGGGGAUCUUCGGACCUCGCGCCAUUAGAUGAGCCUAGGUCGGAUUAGCUAGUUGGUGAGGUAAUGGCUCACCAAGGCGACGAUCCGUAACUGGUCUGAGAGGAUGAUCAGUCACACUGGAACUGAGACACGGUCCAGACUCCUACGGGAGGCAGCAGUGGGGAAUAUUGGACAAUGGGCGAAAGCCUGAUCCAGCCAUGCCGCGUGUGUGAAGAAGGUCUUCGGAUUGUAAAGCACUUUAAGUUGGGAGGAAGGGCAGUAACCUAAUACGUUAUUGUUUUGACGUUACCGACAGAAUAAGCACCGGCUAACUUCGUGCCAGCAGCCG